GCCAACCAGCUAGCUUAAUUACUAAUAUAAUUCGACUACAUUUAUAACAAAACAUGGCCCAACACCACAAACUAAACCAUUUUUUUACCUGAGUAUGGGAGACAGAAAAGGUUCAACCCUAAAGCAAUAGAAAAAGUACCGCAAGGGAACGCUGAAAGAGAAAUGAAACAACCCAUAUAAGCACCGAAAAACAAAGCCUAAACCUUGUACCUUUUGCAUCAUGAUUUAGCCAGUACCCCCAAGCAAAGAGACCUUUAGUUUGAUACCCCGAAACCAGGUGAGCUACCCCGAGACAGCCUAUAUUAAUUUAGGGCUAACCCGUCUCUGUGGCAAAAGAGUGGAAAGAGCUCCGGGUAGAAGUGAAAGACCUACCGAACCUGGUGAUAGCUGGUUGACUGAGAAACGGAUAGAAGUUCAGCCUCGCACACCCCAAACCAAAAAAUAUUAUCACCAAGAUAUUAAGGGAAACGUACGAGAGUUAGUUAAAAGGGGUACAGCCCUUUUAACAAAGGAUACAACCUUUACAGGAGGAUAAAGAUCAUAAUGUAUAAGAUAUACUGUUCUAGUGGGCCUGAAAGCAGCCACCUAAACAGAAAGCGUUAAAGCUCGGACAGAAGGAAGUUUAUUAUACUGAUAAAAAAUCUUAUUCCCCUAGCUAUAUCAGACCAACCCAUGCCUCCAUGGAAGAGAUUAUGCUAAAAUGAGUAAUAAGAAGACCCGCUCUUCUCCCAGCACAAGUGUAAACCAGAUCGGACUGACCACUGGAACUUAACGAACCCAACCCCAGAGGGUAGUGUGAUUAACAAAAAACUCAAGAAGGCCUCACAUAACUAAUCGUUAACCCCACACUGGAGUGCUAUUUUAAGGGAAAGACUAAAAGAAGGGGAAGGAACUCGGCAAACACAAGCCUCGCCUGUUUACCAAAAACAUCGCCUCCUGCAACUAAACUGAGUAUAGGAGGUCCAGCCUGCCCAGUGACUACGGGUUCAACGGCCGCGGUAUCUUGACCGUGCAAAGGUAGCGCAAUCACUUGUCUCUUAAAUAGAGACCUGUAUGAAUGGCUAGACGAGGGCUUAACUGUCUCCCCCUUCCAGUCAGUGAAAUUGAUCUAUCCGUGCAGAAGCGGGUAUAAAUAUAC
Molecule: ribosomal RNA, 1138 nt
Filed under: Rhynchocypris lagowskii (Amur minnow)
Lineage: Eukaryota; Metazoa; Chordata; Actinopteri; Cypriniformes; Leuciscidae
Description: partial 16S ribosomal RNA
Rfam family: Bacterial large subunit ribosomal RNA (bases 189-1106)
Source: RNAcentral